GCGUCGCCGAGCUCCCGGGCUGCUGCGGCGGCGGCGGUGUAUGGGGGGAGAGUUGCGCAGGGCCGCCGGGGGCCGAGGCCCAAAGCCCGCGCGCGUGUUUGUCCGGCAGCGCCGCCGCCGUGUGAGGAGCCCGAGGUUCCCGAAGGCCGGCCCCCCGCUCCCCGGACCCGGCGUGGGGAGUGCGCCGACCCCGGAGGCGUGGGUAAGUGCGAGUCGGGCUGCACGCGGGGGCCGCGGCUGAUACUGGGAACACGAGGAGGGCUGGCCCGACUGUCCUGAUGAUACUGGGCUUGGGAAUAGCCGUCAGAAGCGGUGACUGAUGAGUUUUAUGCCUCUGAAGCCUCCUCGGUCUAGAUGAACGUGUCCCUGCAGAACCUGCCCUUAACGCGUGUCGCCGGCCAUGUUCCAGGCAGCCGACGGCCUGCAGCGCCUUCAAGCGGGGAGCGGCAUCCCACCCUGAGGUAGGACCCGGUGGCAGGGUUUUGUUUUUUUCGUCCUUUCAGCUUCAAUGCACUGGAUUUGGCGCCUUGGGCAGUAAAUUGUGCGCGCUACCCCCCACCCCCAUCGCAAGGAAUCUCAAGGAGAACUUUGCAGGUGGCUGCUCCUAACCCCCGAACUAUUUCAGCUGCAGUUGUAUCUCGAAAUAAACUGGGUUAAGAUGAUUCUCGUUUAAAACCACCACUUUGGGCUUAAUUGCAGGGACUAUCCAGGUUUCUGGAGCAGUCCUGGGGAGUGGGAGGUGUUGACUGCUCUGAUGAAAUCACUUAUAGGAAGUGCCGUCAGAAGCGAUAACUGACGAUAACCUUUCCUGGCUGACUGCAGUCGACAAGUCCUCCCCGGCUGCGGGUACUCUGGAAUAGGAGGGUUUGAACAGUGACCCUUUCGCCCCCUCUAUUCGCCCAGAUUGCAGAUGCGUGUGCGGUUGCCAGUGUGAUCAGGUCACCAGCAGUGGAGUGUUGGAGUGAUGAGCGCUGAUCUGUCUCCAGGUAAACCUCGGUCUGUGGGACAGAUUGCAUAGCUGUCAGAUGGCGUGAAGUUCGGGUAGGGUCAGAUACACUUUUAUGUGGUGAACCCUGAUAGCUUGUAUCUGUGUCGCCCUUCUUGAUGGUACCCUAAUACUGAUUGAUGAUUAUGGUUCACGGUGACUGGAGCAGAGUGCAGAGGGAACCCAGCAAUUCUUUUUACCUCUCUGCUCUAUAAUUUGGAGCAAACUGCCUAACAGCCGAGUCUUCCUCAUCCAUGAAGAUCAUCGCUUUAGAUUUGUGAUGUUGAAAAUGAUGGGACAAAAUGAGGUUGCAACACUCAGAGAAGCCAGUUAGGACUUGGGGGCUUAGAUGACUUUUCAGUGCCCCUGUUGGAUUGAACUGGAAUUUGUAGUUGAGGCUAUCGUGAUCAAAACGGUCCUAUUCUGCCUUUGCCAUCUGCUACCUCUUAGGGGUGCCUUCAUUCAUUCCUCCAGGUUUUGUGUGUUGAGGUUCUCAAGAAUGGUGGUCAGCAGUGGAGUUUUAAAGCUGCAGCCCAAGAAGAGGUAAGCUUCCAUCUGGACAAGGACCCUCUCCCCAUGAUAGAACAAAAAUAGGUGGCUGGUUUUAAUUCUCAGAAAAAAGGAUAUCAAAUGAUGAGAUCACCCAAAAUAGCUGGAAUUACCGGCAGAUUGUAUAGUGGUGAAUGUAAUGGUUUUCUGAAGAUAACCUUGUUAAUGCUGUGAAUAACUAUUGGUUGGAGUAGAAAAUGAAGUUGAUACUUAGUUUCUUUUGCAGGCUAUGUUCCUAGAGCAUGCUCAGCCUUGCUGCAGCAGGGGAAGAACUUCAAAGGUUCAAGGACCAGUGGUCACCCAUCAGUUUGGACUGAAAACCCAGCUUCAACAGUUUGUGGAAACACUGCUUACCUUGUGCUGGGAUUCAUAGAGGCCAUUUUCUUAUCAACGGCAGAGCCAACAAAUGUGUUUGGCAACAUUUUUUUAGGAUAGGCAAUGUUGGUUGUCAUUAAAUUGAGUUUUCUAGUAAUGUAUUACAAAUAUUGUAGCCUUCUUAUCUCCCUUGUGCAAACAGCUUUUGUGUUUACUUGUAAGAAUUUGUUCUGUUGGGUAAGGUUCUCUUUAAGCUGGAAACUUACUACUGAGACUAAUAUUUCCAUGUAAUCACCAUAAGCCAAUACUGCAAUAAAGAAUGGUCUUUAG
RNAcentral lists this long non-coding RNA (2179 nucleotides) under Canis lupus familiaris (dog). Lineage: Eukaryota; Metazoa; Chordata; Mammalia; Carnivora; Canidae. The record is from RNAcentral.